CCUACGGGAGGCAGCAGUGAGGAAUAUUGGUCAAUGGACGCAAGUCUGAACCAGCCAUGCCGCGUGCAGGAAGACUGCCCUAUGAGUUGUAAACUGCUUUUGUACGAGGGUAAACGCAGAUACGCGUAUCUGUCUGAAAGUAUCCUACGAAUAAGGAUCGGCUAACUCCGUGCCAGCAGCCGCGGUAAUACGGAGGAUUCAAGCGUUAUCCGGAUUUAUUGGGGUUUAAGGGUGCGUAGGCGGUCGGAUGAGUUAGAGGUGAAAACCAGAGGCUCAACUUCGGAAUUGCCUCUGAUACUGUUCGGCGAGAGAGUAGUUGCGGUAGGCGGAAUGUAUGGUGUAGCGGUGAAAUGCUUAGAGAUCAUACAGAACACCGAUUGCGAAGGCAGCUUACCAGGCUUCUUCUGACGUUGAGGCACGAAAGCGUGGGGAGCAAACAGGAUUAGAUACCCCAGUAGUC
Molecule: ribosomal RNA, 460 nt
Filed under: uncultured bacterium
Lineage: Bacteria
Description: partial 16S ribosomal RNA
Rfam family: Bacterial small subunit ribosomal RNA
Source: RNAcentral